This 5997-nucleotide long non-coding RNA is filed under the name Anthonomus grandis grandis. RNAcentral's name for it is "uncharacterized LOC126737014". Lineage: Eukaryota; Metazoa; Arthropoda; Insecta; Coleoptera; Curculionidae. The record is from RNAcentral.
UUAAAAAGUACGUACUUAAAUUGCGUCAAACCAAGUACCCUUGUAAAGAGAAUUAAAAGACCUUUCCAAUGAGGUAUCACUCGACCCCCCUUCCCAUUUAAGAUUUUAGGGGUAGUGCCACCCCCGCUUAGGGGGUUGUAGGUGGGAAAGUGAUUUUGUGAUUAUUAAGUGUCCCCCUUGAAAAUAAAAUCGACGGGUCCGAGCGUUUUUUUUAAAAGUUAACGGACUGCCCAUAACUGGCUCUGUUUCGUUUUCGAUGCGCCACCCGGUAUAUUUAACGAUGUAUUUUUGUUUCAUUUAGAUCUGGCCAUUCGAAAUAUAAAAAGCCAAUCCUGAAUUGUGUAGACUGGGAGAAAUUUUUUAGCUUUUUCUGUAGAGCUAUGCAUCAAAUCGGCCUCCAUAUAUGAGUGCCCACCCUCUAAAAAUUUGUGCUCUAUUACCUUAAGAUGGGUAACUUGCACUGUAUAAAGUAAAAGGGCAGCAAUGUGUUUAUUACGAUUUUGGCCCGGGCAAGUAUCAGACCAUAAAAAAUAUCUUAUAUGCUCAGGCAAGUUUUGUAGGUAACGAAAAAGAGUUGUUCCUAUUUCGGAACUUCCUCGUUUUCCAUUCAAUUCCGUCCAGCGAAAACAAUAGGCGUCAUUAGGCGGGGCACUCUCAUAUACAGUGAGGACGCGGAAGUUGGAACAAAUUCAUUUAAAAUUCAGGGAGGUAUUUUUGUCUUUUAAAUUCGUCCAUUUUCCAGAAGUUUGAACAUAACAUCCGCCUAUCAUCUUCGGAAAAUAUUUGGUCGCACUUAAAGCGACACUUCUCACAGCUGACAGUUUUAGGUAGUGUCCGGUGGAAAUUUUCUCUUAAUCUUGUAAGUUAACCCAUGACUUCUACUUUCUUUUGCCACAUUUUUUCCCACGACUUUGGAUCGCUUUGGAUCCAUCUGGUUGACCAAAGGAUAAUUAUAAAAUAUUUUAACACCAUUUGAGCUCUAUAAUAUUAAUAUGAAUCUACCUUUCAAAUUUUGUGGAGAAUAAGUGGAAUCUUUCAAAAAAUCAUCGCUACCUGAAUCAAUACACUCGCCUUCCAAAUGCCCAAAUUGUUUAUUUUCAGCGUUUACUUCACCAGAUAUAUUGAUGCUUUGUAAGGCAUCAUUUUGUUUAGAAAGGUCACAUUAUGCAGACUUGUAAGGGCUUGCCUAUUUUUCUUUUCACGGUCAUCAUAGUCUUUGGUAUUCGUUAAAACAAAAAUUAAAUAUAUUAUUUGAACUCUCUCACCGGUAAUUAACUUACCUUGGUUCUAAAUUAUGGAAUGUUUUGAUUGGGCAAAUUUCCUAUGAAUCAUUCACUUUUUCGAUAAAUCUCUCUUUACCCCUUAGUUCCUUAUAUACUAAUAACACAAUUUUUUAGCUCUCGAAGACAUUUUAAUUCAUUUAUUCUAAGCAGUCAGUCACUAACUGUCUAGUCAUAGUUUAUUCGAAAGGACGAAUUUUCAUUAACUUUCUUAACAUUGCACUUAGUGGAUUUUACUUGUUUCAUAUUAAGAUGGAUGGGACUUAGGUAAAACAGACCCCGUUCUCACAGCCUAACUACUAGACAUAUGGACUUAGUGGACUUUUCAUGAAAAAGAUUUUAUAAAACCAAAUAAGGAAGUGCAUUAAGUCCAAUGUUGGCAAAAAGUGGACCUAGUGGAUUUUCGCCGUAAGUCCACGAUAUAAUUAAGUUUUGACGUAGAUGUUUAUUGCUUGCCAAGAAAAAUCGGAAGUGAGAGGAGGAAAGAAGAAUUGACAAAGUUUUUUCAAAUUUUCUUGCAGUGUAUUCCUUUGUUAUCUUGUUCAUUAUGAUCAUUUUUCAAAGACUUAUUAGGCGUAAUUCGCACAGAACGGGCAUUUAGCGAUGGCGUGGUAGGCGCAUGUGCCACUUGCAUGUUCGCUUAUGGGGCAAUACAGAUAGAAAUGGCGUUGCACAGGCAUGAUAAGUCACGCCACCGCCACGUCACUUCGACGCCACGAGUGGCCUACAAACAGCGGUCUAUAUUGCUUCUUUUCGUCUAUUUGGUAAAAUGCGGGACGAUGUUUUAUUUAAUAUCGACUUCUGUAGAGAAGUGCAACAGUAUGCAGUUCUAUACGACUAUAGAAGGUCAGAUUACUGCAAUAGAAGUGCACAAGGACAAGCAUGGGAAAAUAUCAAAUAAAUUCAGUGAAAAUGUAACCGAGUAUAAAGACCGCUGAAAAAACAUACAAGCAAGCUACUCAAAAUAUAAAGCCAAAUUAAAAACAAAAUCAGGACAGGGAACAAAACGAGUUAAAGAAUAUUAUUUGGCCCCACAUCUCUCUUUUUUGGGUCCUUUCUUGAAGUCUCGCAAGAGCAAAGGCAACGUGAUCAAGAAUCUGCCAACGCAUCACGCAGCAGAUACCGGGUCCCACAAUCUAAUGAGUCUGAAGACAACUCCAAUGCUGAUGUACUCUCACCUGAUAACAUUCUAUUCAGUCGUUUCUCUCGGUCACCUGUACCAUCUUUUAGUACGUCUAUCGAUGAUCAACCGUUAGCAAAGAGAGCACCUAAAACACUAUUACAGAAAGGAGAUGAUUUUAGAAAAAAAAAAGUUAGCAGCCUGAACCUCUAUUAAUGAGGUCAACGAGCAAGCUUACCAGUACUUUGAAAAAAAGCAACAAUUGCUGGAGAUCCAAAACAGCACGAAACGAAUGCCACAAUCGAUCUUCCUGACCCGGACCCGGCGUUUUUUCAAAGUGUUCUUCCUGGCAUGAAGUCCAUGAAUUCUGUUCAGAAGAGGCGUUUCAAACUUGGAAUUUCGAAUUUAGCCGAGCAAAUACUUAUCUCAACCAUUCCUGAAGCCUCUACUACCCCAAUGGAUAGUUCUAAAUCUUGGAUUGAAGAUUCGGUAAAUAGAAAUCUAAAUUCAGUACCGCACAGGAACCCGGACAAGUUUCACUUGAGUGAAUUUAAAUACUACAAUAAUUAAUAUUAGGGGAACAUUAUCGUUAUUUUUUUGUUUUAGAUUAAACAGAAAUAAAUUCACUUAAAUGUAUUUUCUUCAACUUACCUCAGCGUUAUUAAGGUCGAUUCAAACAUAUCAGUCCCGUCACGUCACAGUUACGGCGCCGAACUGAACUAUCCGUCAUAAAAAUAUUCUUAAUAGAAAUAUGCCGGCGGCGUUCACAUCCACCCGUAGCCGAACAGUUUCCAAACUAGACAGGCUUCGACCCGUCUCACGUCCGACCAAUUUUAUAAUCUCUGGUACGAUAUUUUUUGGUUUUGCCGGAAACAUGUCGGGCGGUACAAGUGAACCAAAUAAAAUUAACGACAAACAAUUAAUGGAUUGUGUGAAAAAAUAUAAUGUUUUAUAUGAUUUGUCGCAUGCAAAAUACAUGGACACUAAUUUUAAAAGUAAUAUUUGGAAGGAAAUCGGAAAAGAAAUGAAAACACAAGAUCAACUGUAUAAGACUAGAUGGGGAAAUAUUAGAGACACAUUUAGAAAAUAUUUGAAAAAAACAUUACAAAAAGUGGACAAAGUCGUAAAGAAACAAAGAGAUGCAAAUACGCUGAUCAAUUAGGAUUUUUGAAAAAACAUUUUAAUGAAAGAGAAACGAUAACUAACAUUAAGGAUAUUGAUAACACCCAACAAGAGACUGAAGAAAUAGUGCCUGCAGAUGAAGAAAGUAAUUCUGGUGAUGAGAAAGAACAAAAUGUUUCUGUAAUGGAUGAACGAAAUGAAAUAAUAGAAGAAACCAACAGUCAAAGAGAAGAUUCCCCUGCUUCAACUCAAAGGACUGAAAAACUACCUAUUCAAAAACAAACUACUACAUCAGAAAAGAACAUCAGUAAAAGAAAAGUUACAUAUUCUCAGCCUACUGCUUCAGCAAAACUCAUGGACUAUUUAAUAAACAAACGUAAGGAACAAGUUACGGCACCACCAGAUGCAGUUGAUGCCUUCCUAACUGGCAUAACACCAGCCCUAAAAUCUCUUUCGCCUCUAAAUUUUUAUUUUGCCAAAUCAGAAAUAUUUUCGGUUGUACAGAAAUAUGAACUAAAGUCUCUUCAAGAACCAAUUUAUAAUAAUUGUAAUCAACAACAAUCACAUGCUACAACAGCUCCUCCAAUGGUAUCGCCUGCAUCCAGUUACCAAUAUUCUGAUACAUCAACAAGCAAUACAUCGAUGCAAUCACCUGUUUAUACCCAACUGCAAUCUCCACCGCCAAUACAAACUAUGGAUGAUAAUACAGGCUCUUCUCACUUUCAGGACUUGCAGGACUGUUUCCAGAUUUCAUUAAAAUAUGUAUUUUAUAUUCAAACUAGUAUUAGAUAGUGUUAUAGUGUUUGAGAAUUUUUUUAAUUAUUUCAGUCAGUUUCAAAAAAUACCAUUUGUACGUUUAAAAUUAAAAAAAUAUAUUAUUUUAUAAAUUUAUUUAUUUAUUUCGUACUUACCUUAAACAAACUGCAAGACGCUGCCUCGGUGAAAUAGCUCUUCUCCAGUGUGUAUCCUUUUUUUUUUCAAUUUUUUUGAAAUUUUUGAAAACAAUACGUUAAAGCAAUUUUUCGACAUCCUAAAAUAUUGAUGAAAUUUGACAUCAUCAUAAAGCAGUUCUUUAUACAGUGUCGCGUAUUCUCCUUCAAUAUCUCUUUUUUUCCAUGCAUCAUGGAUCCAUUUCCGUUUUUUUGCUUGGCUUGCUUCCGCUUCUUCCUCUUCGUCCAAACAUAUAGCAAUUAUUGCUAAUUCUUCAUCGGUGAAACUUGCCAUCUUUGCAACAGAUUGGUCACCGACACCGAAUACAUUCCGUGUGUGUCAAAACGAAUCAGUCAAAAAAGUCAAAUCGGUUCGGCGCCGGAACUGUGGCGUGACUGAUGUGUUUGAAUCGACCUUUAACAACCUCUCCUCUGGACUGGCAGGUUCUCGCCAAUUUGUAGAUUUGUUUUCAAUAUUAACCUCACUAAAGCUAGUAUUUUAUAAAAACAUUGAACAGACAUUCGAUAGAAACUUUGAAAACGUUCAGGGUACAUAUUGAGCUCCCGCAUAACAUUAAACGAACCCCCAGUUUUUCCUUUAUCUAACCACAAGGGAUGUAUGCAGUAUCUCCUUUGUUAGCUAAAUUUACUAGGUUCAACAUAUCUUGUUCAUCUUCGUCGUACGAAAGCAUUUUAACUUUAGGUUUGUUCCAAGCGACCAGAUAUGCACCAUUCAUUGAAUCAUCCUGAAAUCACCUGGAUCAGUUUUAUACACAUGCGGUAAGUUUGUACGGUUUCGUGUUGAUACGAGAAAUGAACGGGCUUGGAACGCAUUUGUAAAGUUACUAUAACCUCAGCCUAGCUUUGCCGGUCUGUUUGUUAUCUCCCCUGGAUUGUUUUGUUGACAGUGGGAAAUACCUUGAUUUUAUCUUAACAUUUAAUUUAAUUAACUUAAAACUCACACACAGUAAAACUUAAAAGUAAUGGAUUAAUAUUUUACAAAGUCAAAACAAAUGUUUUUAUAAAUAACCUUUUUUAAACGGAACAGCUGGUCGAUCGAUAACUCUCAAGCAUUUACUGCGCGAGUCAGUCCUACAAGUUACAAACGGUUCCUACUCUCCGAGAUGUAUCGAAAUGUCCGUUCAGAAACCAAUCUGGGAGCGUUUAGAAAUUGGUUUCUGAACGGUCCCAGAUUCGCUUGGAUCGCAUUCAGGAUUCGUGACAGUACUACACAGUCAUGUACGUAACAAUUAAGUGACAAUAAUCACAUUGAAUCCCUUUUUUAUGGGAAUUGUGCACGCCACGUCCGCUCCAUCCCAGCUCCAUGCUAGUCCGACGCCACCGCCAUAUACCCGUUUUGUGUGGAUUGCGCCUUAUAUUGGAUAUUGUCUAACUGACUUUAAGAACUUUACUGCACUUUAACCAUUUUUUUAAAUGUAACUGUAGCAGUAAUAAUUUUUUAUAGUAAUUAACGUUUUAUUACGAUUAAAAUAAACGCAUUAACUCAUCACUUCUAGUGACUACAAUAUAUAAAAUUCGUUGAUGU